GACGAGCCACCCGAACGUUAUUCGGAAUUACUGGGCUUAAAGGGUGCGUAGGCGGUGUAGCAAGUCGGGAGUGAAAUACCCCAGCUUAACUGAGGAAUUGCUUUCGAUACUGCUGCGCUUGAGUGAGACAGAGGUAAGCGGAACUUAGGGUGGAGCGGUGAAAUGCGUAGAUAUCUGGAGGAACACCGGUGGCGAAGGCGGCAUCCUGGACCAAUAUUGACGCUGAGGAGCGAAAGCCAGGGGAGCAAACGGG
Molecule: ribosomal RNA, 253 nt
Filed under: uncultured bacterium
Lineage: Bacteria
Description: partial 16S ribosomal RNA
Rfam family: Bacterial small subunit ribosomal RNA
Source: RNAcentral